AUACCUUUCUCGGCCUUUUGGCUAAGAUCAAGUGUAGUAGUAUCUGUUUUUAUCAGUUUAGUAUCUGAUAUGUGGUCCGAUAUUAACUUUAUUUUUUGAGAGAGAAAGCCCAUUAAGAUAGCUUGCUACCUGCGCGAGUCGCCCAUGCGUUGCACUUUUGCAUGGGCUGGCUUAACCCAC
Molecule: small nuclear RNA, 180 nt
Filed under: Brassica carinata (Ethiopian mustard)
Lineage: Eukaryota; Viridiplantae; Streptophyta; Magnoliopsida; Brassicales; Brassicaceae
Also listed under: 1 other name
Description: U2 spliceosomal RNA
Rfam family: U2 spliceosomal RNA
About the family: U2 is a small nuclear RNA (snRNA) component of the spliceosome (involved in pre-mRNA splicing). Complementary binding between U2 snRNA (in an area lying towards the 5' end but 3' to hairpin I) and the branchpoint sequence (BPS) of the intron results the bulging out of an unpaired adenosine, on the BPS, which initiates a nucleophilic attack at the intronic 5' splice site, thus starting the first of two transesterification reactions that mediate splicing.
Source: Rfam by way of RNAcentral